Molecule: ribosomal RNA, 222 nt
Filed under: uncultured bacterium
Lineage: Bacteria
Description: partial 16S ribosomal RNA
Rfam family: Bacterial small subunit ribosomal RNA
Source: RNAcentral
GCAAGUCGAGCGCAGUCCUUCGGGACCGAGCGGCGGACGGGUUAGUAACGCGUGGGAACAUACCCUUCUCUAAGGAAUAGCCUCGGGAAACUGAGAGUAAUACCUUAUACGCCCUUCGGGGGAAAGAUUUAUCGGAGAAGGAUUGGCCCGCGUUAGAUUAGAUAGUUGGUGGGGUAAUGGCCUACCAAGUCUACGAUCUAUAGCUGGUUUUAGAGGAUGAUC